CACCUUGCUCUUGGGGAGACUCGAACUCACAACCUCUUGGUUGGAAGUGGAGGUUGCUUACCAUCAGAGCAACCCCUCUUGUCUCUAUGCAACGUUAAUAGAAAUUAGUUAAACGAUAAUGCUCGCGAGAGGCAAAUGUUUAGCUCCCAGGAUUCACCUCAAUGGCGUUGGAGACCUCCUUUCCUUUUACUGUUUCAGGUCACAAUUUCUCUACUCUUCAACCUCUACUCUUUUCUUUGUAAAUUACCUGGUUGAUUAUCUUGGGUUCUCCCAAGAAGAAACAACCUCUACAUAUUCCAAGUUAUCUUCACGGAAAACCUCCAGAGAUCCCGAUUUAGUCCUCAAUUUCUUGAAACAAACCAGUUUUGCCAACUCCUGGAUCAAAAAGAUGGUCUCCAGAGCACCCGAAUUGCUAUUCUCUGAUGUUUCUAAAACCCGAAAACCCAAAUUCUAGUGCCUUUUGGACCUCGGGCUAUCCAGGUCGGAUCUGGUGAGUGUAAUUGAUAAAAAUACAAAAAAUUAUGGCAAGAGGUUUAGAUACUUAUAUGAGACCUACCAUUGAUUUUCUUUGGCCACCGACGGAAAUGUAGUUACGGCUAUAAAUAGAAGUCCUUGGAUGCUUUGUUUUGGUGCCCAUCAUAUUAUAAAUACUAAUGUAUUGUUGUUGAAAAACUGUGGUAUUUCUGAUGCGAGAAUUAAAAAAUUCAUGCUUCAAAAUCCUUCUCGUGUUACAUAUAAUCCUGAUUGUGUUAAGUAUUUCUUGCAUAGAGUGGAGAAGAAUUUUCGAGUUCCGCUUGACUCCCCUAGUUUUCUUCAUGCAUUUCAUGUUUUAUCUGCGCAAAAAAAAGUCUACAUUGGAUAGGAAGAUUGGAAUAUUCAAGAGUUUUGGAUGGUCUGAUGAUGAAAUACUCGAGUUACUCGGAAGCUACCGCUUUGUACUGCUCUCUCAGAGAUUAAAAUUCAGAAAGCAUUGAAUCUUUACAUGAAGGAGCUCAGUUUUGAACCUAGUUACUUGGCUUCUCGUCCUGCAUUUUUGGUCUAUAGUCUGGAAAAAAGGGUGAUACCUCGGAUGCAAGUCUUGAAAAUUUUGGAUGAAAAGAAGCUUGAGAGGAGAAAGGUGAGUCUCUAUUAUGUUCUGACCUUAACAGAGUCAAAGUUCAUAGAGUAUUUUGUGCUGCUCUACAAGGAUCAGAUACCCAAACUAUAUUUUUUUUUAAUAAGCCAUCUCCUUCUUUGUUUGUGAGCCUAGGGAGGGUGUGGGGGGUUAGUCCUGGACCCCUACCAUGUAUAUUAAAUUAACAAUGACAAGAGGGGUACAUGGAACCCUGGGCCGGUCUACAAAAAUAGCCCAGCAAGCAGGAAAGGCAUAGCCUAUACAAAAAAACCUUUCCAUAAAAUUAGAAACCUAACUAACAAAAAAAUUAUAUUUUUCAUAUCUCCUAAAAAAAGGAAAAUGCUAUUUGUCAAGUUGAAUCAGCCCUUUUGCCUCUCUAGGAAGACUGUCUUGAAAGUGAUAUAAGGUCCUUUUUCCACUUGUAGAAGCCAAUUUUAGCAACAGAUCCGCAACUUUGUUUGCUUCUCUAAGGCAGUGAGAGAUACAAUGUACAAUGUUACCAAGCAACAGUAUUACCAUUGAUAACGUGUUGCAACUUCAAAUUUUUGGUGUCUUGCUUGAUGAGGUUGUUAGCGACAAUAAGAGAAUCAGUCUCCACAUGAAUACUAGAGUAGUCUUGUUGAGUGCACCAUUCUACCCCAAAUCUCACUGCUGGCGCUUCAGCUUGUGAGCUGCUAUUGGCUCGGAUCGGGAUCGAAAAUGCAAAGAUGAAAUCACCACUGCUAUCUCUAACAAUGCCCCCAAUCCCAGAUUUCGUGCUAGCUCUAAUAAAACUACAAUCAGUGUUAAUUUUAAUCCAACCAAGAGGUAGUUUGAUCCAUUGAACAGGAGUACAUGCAACAGCUGGUUUGAGUUUCUCCACCAAUAUACAAAGAUUACUCCAUGAACCAUUGGUGUCGAUCUUAGGAUAAGCAUCCUUAAGAACUGCUUUCAUAUUCCAAACACAUUGCGUAACCAUUCUGUACAAGUAGAAACUAUUAUUGUCCCCAUACCUACAUGCCGGCUAAGAUUUCCAAAUCUCCCAACAUAUAAUGAUAGGAAGAGCUUGUAUUACUAGUUUGUGAACACUGUUUCUAGAUUUUAUGUUCCACCACUUAUUAAGAAAAGCUCUGAUUGACAAGUGAUUCCCAAAGGGUUACCCAUAGCUUUCCAAACAUACUCGGCUGCUCUACCCUCUACAAAGACAUGUUACAAGGUCUCCCUAGCAGGAGUUGGACAACAUCUAUGCACUUCUGUGUCUUGAGAAUCCAACCUUGUAAUGCUAUUUCUAAUAGGGGUUCUGCCAAAGAAGAUUCUCCAGCACAUGAAUGAUGGUUUGAAGGGAAUGGAUUUGUGCCAUAUCUUGUUGAUUGUGCCAUUGAUUGCUCUAUGCCCCCUGAUCAUAUUCCAAGCAGAACCAUUUGUAAAGUGACCAUCCUCAGUAGCAUUCCAUAUAGCAUAAUCAUUUUUGUUAUCCUGGCCCAGCUCUAUUUACAUGAUGUGUAAAGCAAUUUGGCUAGGAAAAGUAUUGUAUAGUUUCUGUGCAUCCCACAUGGUAGAAGUUGUGAAAUCAUUUACCUUCUUUUUUGCAUUGGUAGUGUUCAUGUAGCUUGAACAAAUAUAUGCCAAAGGACCCAAUUCAGUCCAGUUAUCCCUUGCUUUUCACACUUAUCUCUAGCCCAGAGCAGAUACUUCCACGCUUGAGAGUUGCCACUGCACUAUUUCUUACCAACAGGAUGAAUUCUAGAACAGGCCUCUCUGCCCUUUCGGGCAGGGGUAAGGCUCGUCUACAUAUUACCCUCCCCAGACCCCACAAAGGAAUUAGACUCAGAGUUGGAUUCAGAAUUUGGAGCUUGGCUUUGCUUCAUUUGGUUUGCUUUCAACCUUUUGUUUAAAGCCUUUCUCAAAUCCCCAGAUGCUACAGUCUUACGAGCAAGAAUUUUUUGCCUUCGUAGUCUACAUAUUACCCUCCCCAGACCCCACCUGGUGGGAAUAUACUGGGUAGUUGUUGUUGUAGUUGUUGUUGUUGUUGUAGGAUGAACUCUAGAACAGUAUUUUGCCUUGCGGAAGUCAGCCCACAUAGAAUUGCUUACUCUAAAAUGCCACAAUCUCUUGAUGUUAAGAGUAUUAGAGAUAUCAUUCAAUCCGUGGAUAUCGAUUCCAGCUUCAUUCUUUGGACAACAAAGCUUAUCCCAAGAAGUCCAACAGUAUUUGUUUUUACCAUUGCAAGUACCUCAGAAGAAAUUGAUUAUGAUUUUGAAUAAGCUUCAGAGUUCCUUUGGAGGAUUAAUGGCAGAUAAAAGAUAAAUAUGUAGGGAAUCGAUAACAGAUUUAAUCAAAACUUGUCUACCACCACAGGAAAGCAUAUUACCUUGCCACGCAUUUAACCUUUUAAUAACCUUGGCACUCAUGCUAUCAAAACAAGAAUUUUUUUCUACCAAUGUAAAUAGGACAACCAAGGUAGUUAAAAGGAAAGCUUUUAUCCAGGAAUCCAGUAUUAGCUCUAAUUCUGUUGAUCCUAUAUGCAUAUCUUUUGGGAUCAAUGAGGAAAAAACUUUUAUCCAUGUUAACUUGCUGCCCAGAAACACAUAGUUCGUAAUUUGUUUCAUAAUCAAUUUUGGACUUAGUAUUUCCACUACUAAAAAUCACAAUAUCAUCAGCAUAAGCCAAAUGAGUAAUCUGAGGUCCAUUUCUAUGCACUGUGAAAUGAGUUAAAUCAUUGUUCUGAAGCAAACUAUUCAAGGAUUUAGAUAAAACCCAGCGUUGUAAAUAACGCUCUACAGCGCUAAAGGCGUGUAGCGAGGCGAGGUGAGGCUAUAGCGCCACACAUGGGACUGUUGCGUUGCGAGGCAAAAUAGCAUGCGCCUCUGCUUCUGUUGCGAGUGGCGAGGCCAGGUGAGUGGCGAUGCGAGGCGUCACUAUUUUGAUUAUACAGAAAAAUUAAAACAGUCAGCUACGUUCAGUUGCUCCAGUCGACGAAAAUUAGGGUUUCGCUCCAUCUUCUUCUUCAUCCAUCGUCUGCAACCAGCACCAGCCAAGUAUGUUCUUCUUUCUUCUUUCUUCUUUUCUCUUUCGCGACCAGCACCAGGCAGCAACAUCUUUGUUUUUCUUUCUUUCUUCUUUCUUCUUUCUUCUUUUCUCUUUCGCGACCAGCACCAGCAACAACUCUGUUUUUCGUUCUUUCUUCUUUGCUCUGUUUUUCUUUCUUCCUCUUUGCUCUGUUUUUCUUCUUCUUUCUUCCUAUUUAUGCUCUAUUUUUCUUCUUCUAUCACAUAUAUUUCAUCACGACUUUUGCUUGACAUUUUGCUAAGUCUAUCCUGUAAAGAAUGUCGAAGAGCACCUGCACAGAUAAAACAAGAAAUGUUAACCUGCAAUUCUGCUAAGUUGCUUAAUUUUUUUUGAUUUAUUGCUCUAUUUUUCUAUAAAAUAGCGUUGAAAAUUGAUUUGAUUUAUUGCUCUAUUUUCUUUAAAUUCUUUAUUUAUUGCUCUAUUUUUCUAUAAAACAGCGCUGAAAAAAUUGAAAUGGCGUCAUCCGAUAAUAGUAAACGAAGUGAUAUAGCUUGGAAUUAUGCUAUACAAGGCUCGUCAAGAACUGCAAUUAAAUGUUUGUUCUGUGGAAAACAUAUAAUGGUGGGAAUGUUUGUUCCGAGGAUGAAGAAGAUGAUAGCCAAUAUAAUGCUAUCAAUUAUGAUGUUGUAGAAUUUGAAUAUCUUGAAGAAGAAUAGAUGUUGCUUAUUUUAGAGUUUAGACUAUUAAUCUUUAAUUUAUGAAUCUAUUAUGAGUUUAUGACUAUCUAUUGAGUUUUUAAUUUUUAAAUUGAUAUAUUUAUUAACAUAUUAUUGUUAUUGAGUUUUUA
RNAcentral lists this long non-coding RNA (4949 nucleotides) under Nicotiana benthamiana. RNAcentral describes it as "long non-coding RNA (NBEN_LNC012811)". The record is from RNAcentral. Lineage: Eukaryota; Viridiplantae; Streptophyta; Magnoliopsida; Solanales; Solanaceae.